GAAAAGAAACUAACAAGGAUUCCCCUAGUAACGGCGAGUGAAGCGGGAAGAGCUCAAAUUGAAAAUCGGUGUCGCAUGAUUUGUGCAUCGAGUUGUAGUGUAUAGAAGCGCGACCAGCGCGGACCUGCGGAGAAUUUGGCUGGAAGGCCGAGUCAUAGAGGGUGAUAACCCCGUCUGUGCCGUGGGAAGCCGUGCGUACGGUACGUUUUCGACGAGUCGAGUUGCUUGGGAAUGCAGCUCUAAGUGGGUGGUAAAUUCCAUCUAAAGCUAAAUAUAGGCAGUA
RNAcentral lists this ribosomal RNA (283 nucleotides) under uncultured basidiomycote Cons3. RNAcentral describes it as "partial 24S large subunit ribosomal RNA". It matches the Rfam family "Eukaryotic large subunit ribosomal RNA", at positions 56 to 331 of the family's 3401-position model. Lineage: Eukaryota; Fungi; Basidiomycota. The record is from RNAcentral.